RNAcentral lists this transfer RNA (67 nucleotides) under Rhynocoris incertis. Its description in RNAcentral is "tRNA-Asn". The record is from RNAcentral. Lineage: Eukaryota; Metazoa; Arthropoda; Insecta; Hemiptera; Reduviidae.
UUAGCUGAAGCCAAAUUUAGAGGCAUUUCAUUGUUAAUGAAACUAUUGAUUAAUAAAUCCAGCUAAA